This is a long non-coding RNA of Peromyscus eremicus (cactus mouse), 3648 nucleotides long. RefSeq lists it as uncharacterized. The record is from RefSeq and is a predicted model, not a curated record. The transcript has 3 exons. Lineage: Eukaryota; Metazoa; Chordata; Mammalia; Rodentia; Cricetidae.
CAGUUCUUAAUGCUAACCUAUAUUAUAUCUGGGGCGUCAGAGUCUAUUGAUUAAAGGUAAAAACAUGGUCCCCAUGUUUUAUGUGGGAUAAAAACAAUUCCACAGCUGGAUUUUAAUGACUUUUAGGUAACAAGGGUGGAUAAGGAAGCAAGGAGCACGCACUGGUUAGGCGUGUUAAGGUUACGCUGAUAGCUUCACUGGCUACUAACAUUCUAGAGCAAGUGAACUAUGGAUUCUAGGCUCUCAUUUGCUGAUUUGUGGCUUUUAGAAUGGGUGAAGUUUAACAGCUGAGGCUAGGUGAAGUGUUCAGGGGAGAUUUAUAGGCCGUGUCGGAAUAGUGCAGGCUGCACUCGAGAUGUCCGGAGGACUUUGAGCUUUGACAGAGAUGGCAGGUGCCUAAGACAACAUUCUCCACAGGUUGUUUCAAUAAGGUCAAAGCUCUGGGGAAAUUGGUGGGUACCAUUGCCGCAAGGAAGAGGCAUGGCUGGGUAUCAAGGCUUUGGGUGAACGGGUGGGGUAGCAUAAAGUCAAAGGUCAGCCCUGGCCUGAUCAUUUGAUGUCCUCCUCCACCCUUGUGCUAUUAUUUGAUCUGCUGUACAUAGCCACCAACAUUUGCAAUCUGAAUUUGAAUUUUAAGUAUGAUAGGAUUUACAUCAUAUAAACAACGUCAUUUUAAAGAUACAGUUCACUGUUCUUUGCUCUGCAUCCCUCACCAGCCCGAUCUCCACACCACUUUUCAUCUGGUAAAAAAGGAAACUCUAUACUCAUGAAGUAAUAACUGCCUAUCCUUCCUCCUCCUAGCUCUGACAGAUGGAAGCAACCAAGCAAUCAACAACAACAGAACACAUCUGUGCCAACACAAAUGUAGAUUUCCCCUCCCCAUAUUGACACGUUGAUGGGAAGCCCGGAGUUACACACUCGCACAGCCAGCUGAUUAGAUGGCUGCACCGUUUUUUAUAAAGAAUUAAAGACACAGAAGAGAAGCCUAUCAAACAGAUUGAUUCCUCGAAGGCAAGAAUUAAAACUUCUCAUAACAAACGUGUCAGACAAAUGUAGUUCAUUGGUUUGGAUCACCUCUAAAAGGAAAAAAAAAAAGUCCUUACCCUACUUUUAAAAACCCAGAAAUCAGUUGUUCCAGUUUAGCGACGCAGGCAAAGGACGUGGGGGCGGGGAAUGUGUCAGGCUCCGGACACACUGCAUUCUGGGAAAUAGCUGUUUCUUUACAUCAAUAAGCACAGGACCACAAGCAUCAGUCUGAGAUUAGAAUAACUGGUGUCCUUUUGUAGAGAUGGGGAUGUUUAACAGCUUUAAUUACAUUUCAGGGAAAUCAUUAAAAUGAUUUGUGUUUGCUCAUGAGAAGAGGCAGAAAUGAAUUCCACUGUGCAAAGGGGAAAAUCCAUAUCUCAUUUAGUGAGUUAUUGCUUUCUAGUGUCUUGUUCUUUCUGUGUAAAAAUAGUUGACAGAGAGACAAGACAUUCUGGAGGGCCUCCAGCUGUUCGACAGCACAGGCCAAGGAAGUGUGGUCAGAGAGUUACCAAGGGAUGGCAGAUUUAGAGCCUGUCUGGACUCGUAUAAUUCAUGUUCUUCAUUCAUUCUCUCCAGUUUCUGCUGCUCUGGCCUCAGGGAACUAAUAGAGGAUCUUGGAGGGGUUGCAUUUUCAUUUGAAGAGCUUUCAAACAGAAGAUGUAUCAUACUGUUUCCAUAGCAAGAACUUCAAACUACAGUAUGCCUAGAAGUCACCCGGACCCUUCCCAACAUCAUGCAGAGGUUCUGAGUCGCCAUGUCUGGGUGAAUUUUAGCAGGCACCCUGGUGCUUUGGGACACUAUCUUAAAGCCACAUACACACACAAAUACAUUCUAAAAACCAUUCAUUGUUCUUCCACUCAGAGAUAAUCAGCACUGACUUGGUGCAGUUCAGUGCAGUGUUACAUGUCUUCAUGGACUUAACAUUUCAUGCUUGAAUUUAUAAAUAUACGAAAGACAUAGAAUGUACAGAAACAUGUGAGCCAGUGACUUGUGGCUAUAGACUAAGUUCAUAGGAGCUAAGGUACUGCCAAGUGAGAACGUCGUUAUUGAGGGUCGGUGUGGAGCGGGAAGAACACUACAGGCCGUCUCCAUUCAGGUCCAGCGAGUGUGGACUGGUGCUCAGGAGACAGAAGACAGCUCAGAGGAAGUUAGGAUCACAGGGGCUCUGACAGCUACAGGAGAGGAAGAACAGACCCCAAUGGCCUACAGCACAGUGGGGCUGGGACUCAAGAGUGGUAAAAGAGAAUCCUACUCUUCUGAGCAUUGUGCCUUUGAGUCGAUUCUGCACACAACUUCAAUUCUGAAAAAAACAACAAAAAGCUGCAGCUGAAAGAAGCUCCUUUGGAAUGUAAAUGAGUGUAUACCUUGUUACCAUAGCAGGACUUUGCAGGGGAAGAAGAGAAUUUCCACAAUGAUGCGAUUAAAAUAAAAUAAUGCACUACUGAAAGAGAGAGUGGAGUGAGGGAGGAGGGCUCUAAUUUUUCUGAGAUGGGGUCUUGCUAAAUGAUACUGGCUGGCCUGGAACUUGCUGUCAUCUAGACCAAACCAGCCUCAAACUUGAGAUAAUCAUCCUGCUUCUGCCUCCUGAGAGCUAGGAUUAUGGGCACGGGACCCUUUUUCCUGGAGAAAAGGGGACAGAUUAAGGAGUUAGAGCUAGUAAAAUCCUGUGAUAGUAACAGUGUCAGUAAUAUCUCACACCACCAAAGACCAGUCCGACGUCAGCUAUGACAAGGAAGACCUGCUGCUGUCAUCUACUGCUGUGACAUAGGUACAGGAUGAGGAAGAUGGAGGGGAUACAUGUUUUUCUUGUAGCCCUUGAAGGGGGCCUAGACAUCUGUCAUCAGAGCAGUCCUUGGAAGCUGGCCUUUUGGAAAGCUAUAGCUUCAUUGGAAGUCCUAGGAGCUGAGGAAAGGUCAGAGUCCAGACUUCAGAUGGAUAGGGUUAGUAUUCAAAUCCUUCCUCAUCUAGAUCUGGGAUCCACUCAGCAUCAACAAGGGAGGUGCCAGGAUCCUAUGUUCAUUGAUAUAAUUAUCCACCCAGAAGUACACACUUAUAAUCUCAGUACUUGAGAGGCUAGUGCAGGAGGACUGCCAUGAGUUGAAGGCCAGCCUGGGCUACAGAGCGAGACCUUGUCUCAAUAACAACAACAACAACAACAACAACAACAACAACAACAACAACAAACGACAACAUCAAAGCAAUAACUGGAGGAAAGAAAGGCUUCCUCUUGUGUCAUUUCCUUUCCUCUUUGGUCGGAGUUCCCAUUUCUUCUCUAACUCUGCAUCUACCCCUCCCUGAAAGUGACUGAACUCAGAAGACCAUUCGGCCCUCCAGUCCCUGCUUGCUCAUAGCCUUCUCUCUCCCAGUUCUUAUUGGAGUAAGAGCAUACUGAAUCUCAAAACUAUGUUGGGGGGCUGGAGAGGUGGCUCAGAGGUUAAGAGCACUGCUUGCUCUUCCAAAGGUCCUGAGUUCAAUUCCCAGCAACCGCAUGGUGGCUUACAACCAUCUGUAAUGAGAUCUGGUGCCCUCUUCUGGCCUGCAGGGAUACGUGCAGACAGAACACUAUACAUAAUAAAUAAAUAAAUCUUUAAAAAAACCCCACUAUGUUGGGCAAGCUGCUUU